This 86-nucleotide transfer RNA is filed under the name Felis catus (domestic cat). It matches the Rfam family "tRNA". From Rfam's summary of the family: Transfer RNA (tRNA) molecules are approximately 80 nucleotides in length. Their secondary structure includes four short double-helical elements and three loops (D, anti-codon, and T loops). The record is from Rfam by way of RNAcentral. Lineage: Eukaryota; Metazoa; Chordata; Mammalia; Carnivora; Felidae. RNAcentral also lists the same sequence under 2 other names.
GCCUGGGUGGCUCAGUCGGUUAAGCGUCCGACUUCAGCUCAGGUCAUGAUCUCACACUCUUGUGAGUUCGAGCCCCACCUUGGGCU